UUCAACCAGUAGACAUUUAUU
Molecule: non-coding RNA, 21 nt
Organism: Caenorhabditis elegans
Lineage: Eukaryota; Metazoa; Nematoda; Chromadorea; Rhabditida; Rhabditidae
Source: Ensembl